UGGCCGCUUCUACCAGACUGGUUCGGUCGAGGACAGUUCUGAACCCCAUGGUCCAUGCUGCCACAACGAACACAAGCCCCCCUUGGCCUUCCAGCACUCACCAGGAUGGUUCUGUCAAUAUUUGGAACACGCAGGUCGGCCACCAGAGGUCUUGCCUCCGUCCACCCGGUCCCAUUUUCUCUUUUUAUCAUUAGUCUUGCCCGAUGGGCCAGACUGUGGCUUAGCCUUAAGCUUAGCUUCUUAAGCCAAGUUAGACUCCAACAAAGCCACCCGUUCCACUUCCAGUGGGUACCUAGAUGAGUAGGAUUUCGGUUUAAUCACACAUUUGGAAAACGUCCCAUACCAUUCUCCAAAGCACCUUACUAUUGCGAAUGCUCACACCAUUCACAACAGCAAUUAUAAUAUACCUCAAUCC
This 415-nucleotide long non-coding RNA is filed under the name Brassica napus (rape). RNAcentral describes it as "long non-coding RNA (BNAP_LNC000545)". Lineage: Eukaryota; Viridiplantae; Streptophyta; Magnoliopsida; Brassicales; Brassicaceae. The record is from RNAcentral.